This 244-nucleotide unclassified non-coding RNA is filed under the name uncultured Clavicorona. RNAcentral's name for it is "sequence contains ITS2". The record is from RNAcentral. Lineage: Eukaryota; Fungi; Basidiomycota; Agaricomycetes; Russulales; Auriscalpiaceae.
ACUUCUCACCCCCACCCCCUUUUCGGAGGGCGGCUUGCGGGCGUGGACGUGGAGGCCUUGCCGGAAAAUGGGGGAAACUCCUUUCGGCUCCUCUGAAAUGCAUUAGCGGAGACCCCAGCGUUGGGCCCCUUCGGCGUGAUAAUUGUCUACGUCGCAAGGUCAACGCGAGCGACCCCGCUUCGAACCUGCCCGUCGACGUGUACGCCGCGAGGCGCGCACGGCGCAGUGCACAAAUUAACGAAAC